AAGGCGAAGCUCCUGAUCGAAGCCCCAGUAAACGGCGGCCGUAACUAUAACGGUCCUAAGGUAGCGAAAUUCCUUGUCGGGUAAGUUCCGACCUGCACGAAUGGCGUAAUGAUGGCCAGGCUGUCUCCACCCGAGACUCAGUGAAAUUGAACUCGCUGUGAAGAUGCAGUGUACCCGCGGCAAGACGGAAAGACCCCGUGAACCUUUACUAUAGCUUGACACUGAACAUUGAGCCUUGAUGUGUAGGAUAGGUGGGAGGCUUUGAAGUGUGGACGCCAGUCUGCAUGGAGCCAACCUUGAAAUACCACCCUUUAACGUUUGAUGUUCUAACCUAGGCCCAUAAACUGGGUCGGGGACCGUGUCUGGUGGGUAGUUUGACUGGGGCGGUCUCCUCCUAAAGAGUAACGGAGGAGCACGAAGGUUGGCUAAGCAUGGUCGGACAUCAUGCGGUUAGUGCAAAGGCAUAAGCCAGCUUGACUGCGAGAGUGACGGCUCGAGCAGGUACGAAAGUAGGUCUUAGUGAUCCGGUGGUUCUGAAUGGAAGGGCCAUCGCUCAACGGAUAAAAGGUACUCCGGGGAUAACAGGCUGAUACCGCCCAAGAGUUCAUAUCGACGGCGGUGUUUGGCACCUCGAUGUCGGCUCAUCACAUCCUGGGGCUGAAGUAGGUCCCAAGGGUAUGGCUGUUCGCCAUUUAAAGUGGUACGCGAGCUGGGUUUAGAACGUCGUGAGACAGUUCGGUCCCUAUCUGCCGUGGGCGUUGGAAGAUUGAGAGGGGUUGCUCCUAGUACGAGAGGACCGGAGUGAACGCACCACUGGUGUUCGGGUUGUCAUGCCAAUGGCAUUGCCCGGUAGCUAAGUGCGGAAGAGAUAACCGCUGAAAGCAUCUAAGCGGGAAACUUGCCUCGAGAUGAGUCUUCCCUGUCGCUUUAAGCGACCUAAAGGAACGUUUAAGACUAAGACGUUGAUAGGCUGGGUGUGUAAGCGUAGCGAUACGUUGAGCUAACCAGUACUAAUGAACCGUGAGGCUUAACCUG
This 1035-nucleotide ribosomal RNA is filed under the name Proteus mirabilis. Its description in RNAcentral is "bacterial LSU rRNA". It matches the Rfam family "Bacterial large subunit ribosomal RNA", at positions 1896 to 2925 of the family's 2925-position model. The record is from RNAcentral. Lineage: Bacteria; Pseudomonadati; Pseudomonadota; Gammaproteobacteria; Enterobacterales; Morganellaceae.